CCUACGGGGGGCUGCAGUGGGGAAUAUUGGACAAUGGGGGGAACCCUGAUCCAGCCAUGCCGCGUGUGUGAAGAAGGCCCUCGGGUUGUAAAGCACUUUCAGUGAGGAAGAACGCCUGGUGGUUAAUACCCAUCAGGAAAGACAUCACUCACAGAAGAAGCACCGGCUAACUCCGUGCCAGCAGCCGCGGUAAUACGGAGGGUGCGAGCGUUAAUCGGAAUUACUGGGCGUAAAGCGCGCGUAGGUGGCUUGAUAAGCCGGUUGUGAAAGCCCCGGGCUCAACCUGGGAACGGCAUCCGGAACUGUCAAGCUAGAGUGCAGGAGAGGAAGGUAGAAUUCCCGGUGUAGCGGUGAAAUGCGUAGAGAUCGGGAGGAAUACCAGUGGCGAAGGCGGCCUUCUAGACUGACACUGACACUGAGGUGCGAAAGCGUGGGUAGCAAACAGGAUUAGAUACCCGAGUAGUC
RNAcentral lists this ribosomal RNA (465 nucleotides) under Vreelandella stevensii. Its description in RNAcentral is "partial 16S ribosomal RNA". It matches the Rfam family "Bacterial small subunit ribosomal RNA", at positions 338 to 795 of the family's 1533-position model. The record is from RNAcentral. Lineage: Bacteria; Pseudomonadati; Pseudomonadota; Gammaproteobacteria; Oceanospirillales; Halomonadaceae.